CUGCCAGUCAUAUGCUUGUCUCAAAGAUUAAGCCAUGCAUGUCUGAGUACUUGCCGACCUAAGGCGAAACCGCGAAUGGCUCAUUAAAUCAGUCAUAAUUUCCAGGAUGUUGGAAAAUCCUUACUCGGAUAACUGUGGUAAUUCUAGAGCUAAUACGUGCAACUAGUCUCCGACCCCGGUCGUCUCUCCGGAGGCGGUUCGGGGGAAGGGCGCAUUUGUUAGACCAAAAACCGGGUGGACGGUCGAAGGUAGAGCGGUCGUGACUUCGCGUUCUUCCCUCUCCUUCGUCUCCAAUCCUCUUACGGUUACGUGGUGACUCUGGAUAACUACCGCCGAGCGCUGAGGUCUUCGUACCGGCGCCGUAUCCUCCGAGUGUCUGCCUUAUCAGCUGUCGAUUGUAGGUUAUUCGCCUACAAUGGCUGUAACGGGUAACGGGGAAUCAGGGUUCGAUUCCGGAGAGGGAGCCUGAGAAACGGCUACCACAUCUAAGGAAGGCAGCAGGCACGCAAAUUACCCACUCCCGGCACGGGGAGGUAGUGACGAGAAAUAACGAUGCGGGACUCUUCCGAGGCCUCGCAAUCGGAAUGAGUCCAAUUUAAAAAAGUGGACGAGGAUCCAUUGGAGGGCAAGUCUGGUGC
RNAcentral lists this ribosomal RNA (638 nucleotides) under Leptotrichus kosswigi. RNAcentral's name for it is "bacterial SSU rRNA". It matches the Rfam family "Eukaryotic small subunit ribosomal RNA", at positions 14 to 567 of the family's 1831-position model. Lineage: Eukaryota; Metazoa; Arthropoda; Malacostraca; Isopoda; Porcellionidae. The record is from RNAcentral.